CUUUCUUUCUGAGGUUUUUAUCUGCUCUACAUAAAAUCCCAUUCACAGGAUUCCAGCACUACUGCUUGGCCUGAGUUCAUUUAUAUGAGGAGCCAUCAGAUCUUGCCCUCUCUGCUAAAAGCCUUUGUCACUUGACAGUUCCUCAGUAGGUACUACCCCGCAGCGUUCAGUCAUGGAGGAGCACCAAGAGAGAAUGAGUAGAUGAGCAGCAGAAAGGAUUGAAAUGAUAAUGCUUAAUCCCCUGACAAGCUGUGAAGAGAGUCAUCAAUUCACGCUGUCAUUGCUAUUAAUUCCUGAAUUGUGUGAUCAAUCAUGUGAAGAACUGACAAUUGUCCUAUCCCUGCACAGCGUAUUUCUGUUUGCCUCAACACUCAGAUCACUGAAUCCCAAAUGUAUGCAGUUGCCAUUUCUGACUGAGAGAGGCAAUUUUUUCUUCUGUUGA
This 442-nucleotide long non-coding RNA is filed under the name Phasianus colchicus (ring-necked pheasant). RNAcentral describes it as "lncRNA (ENSPCLG00000003097.1)". Lineage: Eukaryota; Metazoa; Chordata; Aves; Galliformes; Phasianidae. The record is from RNAcentral.